This is a non-coding RNA of Naganishia onofrii, 84 nucleotides long. The record is from the annotation of a GenBank genome assembly. Lineage: Eukaryota; Fungi; Basidiomycota; Tremellomycetes; Filobasidiales; Filobasidiaceae.
UCUUCAGUAGCACAGUGGUAGUUGCGUCGAGCUGUUACAACAGAAGCCACUCGAAGGUCGCAAGUUCGAUCCUUGUCUGAAGAG